Molecule: long non-coding RNA, 236 nt
Organism: Trichosurus vulpecula (common brushtail)
Lineage: Eukaryota; Metazoa; Chordata; Mammalia; Diprotodontia; Phalangeridae
Exons: 3
Source: RefSeq, a predicted model, not a curated record
AUCAAGUGAGGGGACAUGAAGAAUGGAUGCUGCUCAGAUGGGAUGCCUUGUCACCAAGUAAAGGUUGCAGAGAAAAUUCAUCCUGGCCACCAUCCUGACCUUCCAGACAAGUUGCCGGGACCCAGCCCUGCUCAUCAGCUGUGCUUACAAACCACCACCCUGGAGGAGAAAAAAGGUCGCUAGUGUUGCUCGUGGUCUGGAUCCUGGAGCCUCAAUUCUCUUUCCUGCCUGCUGCC